RNAcentral lists this long non-coding RNA (8085 nucleotides) under Triticum aestivum (bread wheat). RNAcentral describes it as "long non-coding RNA (TAES_LNC003120)". The record is from RNAcentral. Lineage: Eukaryota; Viridiplantae; Streptophyta; Magnoliopsida; Poales; Poaceae.
UUAGGACCGUCCCAUACCGGUAAGCGUGGUUGCACUGGUCAGCAUCGAUUCAGCGGCACCAUCACUCAGCCAACAGAUGUUCAAGUUCAAUUUAAUCUGGUUAACUUGAAUGCAAAUAUGCUGAGCCAUGAUAAAAUAACAUGAUGCCAACCAUAAUACAUGAACAUGAUAUCAACAUCAUCAUGAGGGUAUCACAUAACUAUCCACCAUAUCAACAAUAACUCAUAUCCACUGAGCAUGGCAUACUGACUAGCAUGACCAUCUCCAACAUCAACAUGUACUACUAACAAGCAUAAACAUAUGAAAGAUAAUACUAGCAGGUAUAACAUGGUCACAGAGUAUAAGACAACAUAGCACAAUAGUGAACAUGCAAAUCUGAACAUUACCGGAACAACAAUAACCAUCUUUUCAACAAGCAAACAUUUAAUAAAGAUUCAAGUUGAAAACAAUGUCUACUGCAUGACUAUCAUGCAAGUGGGUAUUGUGGCUUGCCUAGGGAUGAAGAAGGCACCGGGGAGAAGUGUGGUGAAGCCACGGAAAGAUUUGCCGGAAAACGUUCUCUCUUGGAGGGGGCUGAAUAAGGCAAGGGCAUAAAGGUCAUUUUCACAGUGUCAAACCAUAGUGAAAACAUGACCAACAGAAUGGGCUCUACGAAACAAAGAAGUGAGCGUUGGUUUCACCUGAUUUGGAGCUAGGGAUAAAAAGAUAUAAGGGUUUUACUGCCAGGGACCUAUCUGCAAAAAAUUAUUUUACAGAUUGGGCCAAAACAGAAAAACUGGAAAGCGUAUUAUGGGGAAUGCGCUUCCACUUAAAUGACGAGGCAGUGGCGUGGCCGGGGCUGGUCAACACCUGAGGGACUAACAGGUGGGUCCCACCUUAUCCACUCCCUCUCUCUUCUUCCUCCUCCUUCUCCCGACCAGAACAGGCAGAGGCGAGGCCGCGCGCGUCACCGGCGACGGGCUCCGGCGCCGCAGGCCAUCUCCGGCCAAACGGAGGACACUGGUGGCCUCGGGGUUGCGCGCCGCCUCCAUCCCAGGGCAGAGGGAGCGUCGGGGAGGAGCGUGGACGCGGCACCACGCGGUGGCAGGAGCUGUAGACGGCGGUGGCUGAGAUUUUGGGACGGUGACCACAGAGUUUCCGGUGACGAGCGAAUGGGAUGGGGAGGCCCUACGGGAGGUGGGGAAGCCAGUGGUGGUGGACGAACGGAGGGGGAGGCUCGGUGUUGGGCGAAUUUAAGCCGGAGGGGGCGGCACCAUGGCGGCUAUGGGGUCGACGAGAGCUCCAGAAGCUCGAGCUAGUGGUCAGGGAGGGCUAGUGGAGGGAGGAGGGGAGGCUGAUGAGCUCAAGAGGCCGCGGGGAUGGCUAUAUAUAGCCGGGGCGAGGAGGGCUGAGUUGGCACCGCCGGCGACGCGUGUCCAGCGCCGCGGAUGCGUGUGCUCGUGCAUGGACUCGGGGGAAGGCGACGGCGACGCACAGGGAGGAGCUCACAGGGUGGAAGGGGUCGAGGGACACAGAGGAGAAACGGCCGAUCGCCAUAAAAGCUCGGUCGGCCACAGAUCUCUCGUGGGCGCUCAUUGGUGAGCAUCGGUGAGGAAGAGGACGGAGGGAGAGAGGGGUCCAGGAGAACGGCGACGACACGGGGAACACGCUGGACAUGAUCACGGGCUCUAAGACGACGAGAGGAGGACGGGGUCCAGCACAAGCAGUGCUCUGGACGCGGCCACUGCACACAGAGCGCUCCAACAGGCAUGCAAGCUGCAUGGUCACCACAAGACAUGGCACAUUAAAUGCUCUACAGCACCCAAAACGGUGUCUAGUGGUAAGUCCUUCGAAGGUUGGUCUCAACUACGGUGGUAACUAGGUGAAAGAGGCUCUGAUCAAAAAGAAAUAACCCUCUGAAGUUUACUACAGUAAACUUCAUCAUCUCAAUGUGCUCAACUGGGAUAUGUUAUGGGCCAAACAAGAUGUCUCAGGUGUUUAGGAUAGGAAGGACUACAAUCCUGGAGGUUUUGAGGGUAAAAGGAUCAAGAUUUACUGCAGUUACUUCACAACUGCAUACUUGGUCCAGAAAUGAAGAUCAUGAUGGUGCACUCACAUUGAGUAUCCAAUUGAGCUCAAAUUGGGCAAGGCUUAGUCAUUUGGUCAUAUGAUGAUGCUGUAAAAAGCUCAUGCCAAAUGGACAACCCAAAAUAGCACUUGCUUCACAAACAUCUCUGCUGACCAGAAACUUGGAAUAAUUAUGUUAGUCAUAUGGAUCAAUGCAAUGGUGCCAAAAUGGGUGGAGAGAUGUUUUAUGGGUAUAUGAAUGAUCUGGUAAUUUAUCAGGAUUUUUGAAGCAAUAUAAAAUAUACUUGCUUCACAACCUGAAAAUAUUGCCAGAAACAAAGAUUUGCUCCUGUGCUCACAUAGAAGAUUGGAUGGGGCUAAAAAUGGGUGGAAGGGAUUAAUAUGAGCACAUUAAGAAGUGUGCAAAAGUUCAACUCAUUUGGGUACUCCUAGCUAGUACUUCCUUCACAAAGCCUUCUGUUAGACAGAAACUUUGAAAAUUCACCGAGGAAGAUUGGCUAGGCAAAUAAAUUUGAACUUUCGCACGGGGCAAUUAUUUGGACAUAUAAACAUGCCCAAAAAGGUUUGGAGUAAAUAGGAUAAAUAUAAAUGACACUUCCUUCAGAAAGUGCCAUUCAGGGCAGAAUAGAAAAAGGAAUAUUGGGGAAUUAUUUUUGAACAUGGCAAUGAAUUUUUUUGCCAUAUUUGAUCAAGAUAUGACCCAAACAAUUUAUGAGAAUUAUUUGGGAAUUUAAGGACUGAUGGAAAUAUAGGUUGCUUCACAACCUAGGGCAAUUGGAAUUAUUCCUUUAAUAGAGAAGGAAUAUUCCCAAUAAAAAGAAUAUUGGGAUUUAGACUAGGAUGGAAAUGACAGGGUCUACGGAAAGAUUUGGGAAUGGCAAGCCACUCUGGAAACAAAGAACAGGGCAUCUUCUUCAGUUUCCAGACGACAAAGCCACGGAAAAAGAGAACUCGGGGAAAAACCUCGGAAAAACAAAUGAAAAAGAAAGGGCCAAAAAUCAGGCUAUCACAAACCUUACCCCCUUAAAGAAAUCUCGUCCUCGAGAUUUGGUUGCUCAGGGAACAAGUAUGAAUAUUCUGACUUGAGGAAACCGUUUCCAACUCGGGUAUCCUUUUUCCUUUAUUGUUGUUCCCACUAAAUUUUUAUCUGAGUGGCCCUAGGUAGUUUUCCUUACUGUAUCCACAUACCGACAGUUCUUACCUGGCUUGCUCAUGCUUAUAUAGGCUCCAAUUUCUUUUUAGAUCUACUGACUAGCUGAAUGUGAUUUGAUUAUCACGACUGAAAUAUAUGUCCGUCUUACAAAUCCAAAAGUGAUUUCCGCUAGGUGUGCCACCCGGCACUGACAACCUUUUAUGUAAUGAUGAUCAGUUUUUUCUGAUGAAAACUCAAGCUCUGGCCCAUUGCAUUGGGUUUCUCCAGUAAAUGCAAGUCCUUCGGGUUCCAAACAGUGUGUUAAAACAUAACGUUUCCUGACAGAUUCUGACUCAUCGCAGAAGUUUCUGAAUCAUCUUAACUGGUUCCACUGUCGUGAGUAUCUGAUCCGUACCAAAUAUUUGAUUGUCUCCUAUCAAGGCCAGCAUAAAGGGUUUGGCAUGUAUGAUAAUAUCUGCAGACUUGGCUGACGGUGGUUCUGACAGAAAAUUUUUGUUCAUGAUAGGCUAUCCAUGAUGAUUCAUAUAAAUGAGGACUCAGGCUUCCAGAAUGUUAUUCCUCAUGCAGAUUACUCAUGUUGUGGGCAUAUCCAUGUGGAUCAAUACUGACUUAGACUGUCCGGGGGAUCAGCACCAUGGGGGUCGUGUACGAUUUUCAUACCUGCAUCACUGGUCUUGCUCCUUCAUUAUUGUUUUCUUGGUCUGGAUCCUUGGCUGAAAGAGCUGGGCCAUAUUGCUUCUUCGUAUGACCAUAGGUACUGUCGGUGCAAUCGUUUGGCAAUCAUAGCUUAUCCUCAUUUUUCUGAUAGGGUAACCCAUUAAAUGGCAGGUUCAACACCUCUCAAAUUCUGAUCAUUCGGAAAUGAUCAUCAAAAAACCUUGCAAGAAAUCGACAAAUAAAUCAGUAGCCACUAGAAUGGUCUUUACAACUCAGAUAUGGGACAUUAUUGAAAUAACUCAACCAUGACUUAGGACGGCCGAAAAAUAGCUCGGAGCAUGAUACCGGGUCGAUAAGAAGAAGGUGGCAGCUCCCUAAAAUAGCCAAAAAGCAGCUAUAGGGCUACUGUCACAAAAGGAAACUCAAUAGUUGUACGAGACGGUCGAAAACCAGCUCAGACUCGUGACAGUUGUUGAAGAAAGAAACAAAAAUCGGCAUCCACCCCGGAUAGCUAGAAACAGCUCAGAUCACAGGCGUGGUGCCGUCAUUGGAGAAAAGGGGACAAGGGCUCAUCAGGAUCAUUUUCCAGGUUCACAGGUACUUGUAUUGAGCUCAUUGAUGUCGUCAAUCCUCAUAAUCCUUUGUCACACUGCGGUGUAUACUGGCUUUCUUCUCUUAAUCAUCCUCACGUGGUUAUCAGAUCCUCAUCCGAGGGACUUGUAAGAUCUUGUUGGCAUGCUCAUUGCAUAUAUAUGAGGAUCUGAUUCCGAGACAGACGUGUACUCUGACUGGUUUUUGAUUCUGACCACAAUGUUGCGGAUCUGAUCCUUGGGAUUCACUGCCAUAUGUUGUCAAUUCAUAGUGUACUACCUAGUACCAAUGUUCUACUGAGGAAUAUUUGCUCGCUUGUGCUUGAAACUUUCAUCGGAUAGCUUGCUGAAGAAGACUGGGUAUCGUGCUUCAGAAGCUUACCCCCUUAAACACUUUGCUGGGGAAAGACUCGGUACCAUUAUGCUGGAAGCUUUUGCGGUUGCUUAUUGAAGAAGGAAGAGUACCUUGCACGAGAAAUCAUCCAUAUAUCAUACUGAGGAAGAUAGAUGAAUCUUGCCUUGGAAGCUUCUCUGGUAUCUUGCGAGGGAAAAGUGGGUUGCUUACACCAUAAGCUUCUUAUUGUGAUAUGCGGACCGAUUUCCACAUAUACAUAACAUCUGAAUAUUUUUGCUGUUGAUUUCUUGCAUGAAAUGGGGUUUUGCAGGACUAUCCUCCUUUUUGAGUAUAUGCCAUAUUUUUGCUUGCUUCCAGGUACAUCGAGUUCCAAAAUCAUCCUCAACGAAAAUUAAACUUGUAUCUGAGCCAUACCUUAGAUAAUAUUCUGUCAACCUUGCACACAAUUUAGCUUCUUGCUGAUUUAAUCAUUUUGUUGUGAGGAGUGCAUGUUGAUGCAAACUUGAUACUGACGGUCCUUCUAGGAUUUCUUUUGCAUCCAGACAAGAUAUUCCAAAUUUCACUUCAGUUAGCUGGUAAUUCCAUUCUGUUUAGCUGAGUUUCCAAAUAUAUGCAUUUUUUGCUGACUCUUCGGGUCCAGUGUCGGCUGACGAGCAACUUUAAUAGGGGGGAAUUUGUAAUUUGUAACACUGAAGGCCCAAAGAAAGGAACAACAGAAACGACUAAAAUAAAAGCACACAAGUAUUCUACUAAUAUAAUUAAUCAAGCAAUCAUCACAUAUUACUGCUAGUCACACAAUAUGCAUGCCUACUUAUGCACACAAAUCUCGAGGGAUCUCCGGUUCUUUGAUCUAGCAUGUUGUGAUGAUGUGCACAAGGACGAAUAAAUGUGUGGAAGAAUUGGUGUAAACAGCGCUACACCAAGUGCUAGCUUAGCCAGGUGGCAACCUGAACUAGCUCGGAGGCGAGGACAUACUCGGUAAUCAUGUAGUGGGACACGAAGGUCACAACCACAGUAUUAUCAAGUGGACGGAAAAAGAUCCGUACUCAUCCAAGAAAUAGGAUAGCGGGGAAAAAUUGAGGCUGCUGACAUUGCCCUUUCUUAAUAAUUAAGGUCAUUAAGGGUUGCCAACAUGAAGGAAUAAGAGAACGAUCCGGGAUAGAAACAUGUCCAUCACCAAAAUGAUAGGCGGGACCGAAAGAAAGACAUCGGCGCGAUACCUGAGCACCAUUUUUGCAAACAGUGUCGGGAUCACUUGGUAUCACUCUGCUGGGACAAAAAUGACACCAAACACCAAAAGGAAAAGGAACUGGGGAAUGCAAAGGUUGAGAUGUAGUGGAUCUGAACCGAUGCCAGCUACACUCACCAGAUAAACCGUUAUCACAAAUACUAAGGCUAUAUGCAUGCUAUGAAACAAACAAAUGCAGAAACCAAGUGCAACAAACCAACUGGGGUCUAUACUAUCGCUUUCUAACAUUCACGCGGUCUAGGUUGUCCUACAGCCAGACCUGCUGUGAUACCAAGCGUUGUGGCACCCCGGCUCAGAGAAAUCGGAACGCCCCGUAUUCCAGCCCAGAGAUCGAGGAGAAGUCUUCUGGAAUACGGCACUACUUAGCAUAGAACAUACCAGUCUUCUAUUAUUACACGAAUAUGAAUACAAGGUCUCCGAUAUUACAAUGAAUAACAUCGGUACAGCGACACUACGCCAUCCUCAGUUGCUCUAUGCAAGCAGGAGAACAACUCGAAGCACCGGAAUAACUCUAGUAGCAGAACAACGGCGACGGUGUUGAACUCCACUCCACAGGGACUCUGGCUGGAACGCUUGUCCUAGCUCGCAUGAACGGAAACGCCGACAAGCAAGCAAUCAAAUCCGGCAUGACCUGCAAACUGGCAUGACACGCCAGGUCAGUGCAUUGAAUGUACUUGCAAGCUCACAAUAAACCAGAAGCAUUCAAGACAAACAAUAGUAUGGCAAUUACAAGUUAAACAGGAAUUAUCAUGAUAUCAUCAGAAUAACAUGGCAUGACCAACAUAAACAUGAUACAACUAUCACAACAUGAGCAUAUUAAUCCAACAAUACUAGCAUCCAACAUGAUGACACUAUCAUGCACUACUCAUACUGCUCGGAUUGCCUCAUAACCAACACAUGCAUCACUUACCAACCUCGGACAUCACACGAUCAUCUCGGGAUCAAAUAAAAGCUUGGUAUAAACAAUACUAUAGCGAUCAUUAAAUAACCAUAAGGAGCUUGAUCUUUACCCACAACUCUCGUACAACAUCAUGAAUAUACAACAACUCGGUAUCCUCGAUACCACCCUGAUCCUUACGGCGAGCACAACCAUGACCAACACUUAGUCCCAAACUGUGAUCCUUACGGCGAUCACAACCCGACCAAUACAUGGCCCAUGAUCCUUACAGCGAUCACAACCCGACCAACACCUGGCCAACUUAUCUCACUGUUAUUAAGCAUAUUAUUCUUAUUACUGUUGACUCAUGGUGUGACAUUCUCUCGACCUGGGCCCUUAUCCGCGGGCACGGCUAUCGAUAGAUUUAAUAUAAACUCUGCAGAGGUUAGUACAUUGUACCCACACUACGUAACCCAUGGCCUCGCACUCCCAUUCGGGUGGACCAACGGCGUUCCAACAAAACCGAUCUACUGCCAUGACACUCUCCCGGCUACUCCGACUCACUCCUCACCGAGCUAAGUCAUGGGUGGCCCCGUGCCUACCUCCAGACACAACGACCACCGUUGUGGCCCAACACAUAAACGAUCCCACACAGGGAUCCGCCGACUAUAAUAACUACAGGCACACAAGGUUAGGCUCCGCCUACCUGAUCAGGGUAGCACGCGCCCAUAACCUUCACUCGUAGGAGGCACCGGUGAGAGGCACAACAUAGACCCAGUUAGGACCGUCCCAUACCGGUAAGCAUGGUUGCACUGGUCAGCAUCGAUUCAGCGGCACCAUCACUCAGCCAACAGAUGUUCAAGUUAAAUUUAAUCCGGUUAACUUGAAUGCAAAUAUGCUGAGCCAUGAUAAAAUAACAUGAUGCCAACCAUAAUACAUGAACAUGAUAUCAACAUCAUCAUGAGGGUAUCACAUAACUAUCCACCAUAUGAACAAUAACUCAUAUCCACUGAGCAUGGAAUACUGACUAGCAUGACCAUCUCCAAUAUCAACAUGUACUACUAACAAGCAUAAACAUAUGGAAGAUAAUACUAGCAGUUAUAACAUGAUCACAGAGUAUAAGACAACAUAGCACAA